GGUGAUCUGGCUGCAGCACCUGUCACCCCACGGGUUUUCAGGGUUGAUUCAGUUGAUCUGGUUGUCUGGGUAGUGACCCUCCCACCCUUCCUCAGUGCUCUUUGUGCAUCCUUCCCAAAACGUCAUGCUCCAUCAAAGAGUCUGACUUGCCCUGAUAGAGGAGAACUGUUCUUUGGUCAAGGAUAGAUGAGUAGCUGUGCUCCCCAGCUAGAAUCUCCAAACAAGUUCUUAAAGUCCUUCUGUAGGAGAACAUAGGUAGUCAAACUUCCAAGACUCCAGACACAUCCAAAUAACGUGCUGCAUGUGGCAGUCUGCCUUUCUCU
This 323-nucleotide small nuclear RNA is filed under the name Cervus elaphus hippelaphus. It matches the Rfam family "7SK RNA". Rfam says of the family: 7SK was discovered as an abundant small nuclear RNA in the mid-70s but a possible function has only recently been suggested. Lineage: Eukaryota; Metazoa; Chordata; Mammalia; Artiodactyla; Cervidae. The record is from RNAcentral.